Long non-coding RNA from Bombyx mori (domestic silkworm), 494 nucleotides. RefSeq lists it as uncharacterized. The record is from RefSeq and is a predicted model, not a curated record. The transcript has 2 exons. NCBI's taxonomy places the organism in Eukaryota, Metazoa, Arthropoda, Insecta, Lepidoptera, Bombycidae.
CCUUGUCAGUCUAAUGUCAGAUCGUUGAUAAUAUCUGAAUAUCCGUCUAUCCAUAAUGCACGAACGCUUGAUAUAUUAUCUCAGGAGCUAUCCAUACGAACAAUCUCUUUGGAUCUAUCACUGUACUAUGAACAUCGACGGCUAGAGGUUUUACUGACCGAGUUUUCACUAAUGACUAAUUGACUUGCAAAAUUAUUAUUUUAAUGGCAGCCUCCUUUUCAUUUGUGAAGGUGAAAUUUAAAUUAUUGGAUUUGGAAUGAGAUGGACAAUUCGACCCGAGAUAUUUCCUUAAAAUACUUUCUCUUUUGCAUCGUAGUGAUCGGUGAACGAGAUUUAUCGAGUUACACUACAAACAACGGGAGAAUCGAACCAGGACCGCGCGAACAAUGCUUGGAACAAGUUUCACUACGCCCUUAGCGACUGACACGAUAAAAUGUGACUGACUUAAAUGUCGAUGUUAAAUGGAUAAAGUACGGGUUAUUUGCUUAAGGAAA